UACCUACCUACUCGGAUUUUUAAAUAAACAAAGUAAAAUGACUUAUUUAGUCACAGAGUACAUUAUUAUGACUGGUAUUUAGUUCAUUUUAUUUACGAGAUUCUGUCAAAACCAAAACGAGAAGCUUUGUUUGUUUUCGUUUUUAAUUGUUGACUAAUAUUUAAAAAAUAAGUGCUAAAUAUGGUUUAUGGAUGGACUGUGAGGUUAUGUAGAAUCUACAGGCAGAAAAUAAGCUUUAUAUGACUUAUUGCUUACGUUCGCAAUAACAAAUUUGUUCAAGAGAGGAGAAGAAUUAAUCCAUCCCAAAUGUAAAUAAUAAUACGAUUCUCCACAAAAACAUUGUAGACACAAGAAAGGGAUUUCUACAUUUGCUACUAAGAAGGAUAUGGGAUCAUGAAGGAUUUCAUCUGUUUUAAUACCAGUAAAAUGGAAUGAGCGCCGUGGCCGUGACUGUGUUUGGUACAUAAAGAAUGACAAACAUUCAACUUGAAAUUAUGAGUGCAUUACGGGCAAGGGCACAAUAAGUUGCCCUUUGACUAAGAUGUACUUAAUUUUAAGGAACACGAAAAUGGAUGGCUAGAAUAGGUAUAAUCGCAUACAUAGUAUUUAUUUCUAGUCUGUUGUAUAAAUAAUCAAAGACUACAAAAUAUAAUGAACUAUGUCUUUAAUAUUAAUUUUACAGUUUACAGUGUACUGUGUAGUGUGUAAUCUAUUGUAUGUGUGCGUCUAGAAUAUAUAGUCCUGUUGUUCUACAGUUUAAGCAGUUCAAUACAAGCUUACAGUCGAGUCAAGUGUUUCACUAACCACCAACCAUUGCAUGGCAACCCUGCCAGUUUUGUAAAUUGUAGUCUACCUAACCUGACUGUUGGUUUUGAUUUGUAUCACACAAAAAAUACUAUAGGUACCAAAUUUCAAGAAAUAAGAAUUAAAUACCUAUUUGAUUUAAUUUUACUACUAUACAGGAGCUUAUACAUGAAACAUGACCAAAGCAGGGCUUUGGAGAAAGUGUGUAUGGACAAAGACCACAAUACAUAUGGUGCGGACAACUGCAUGAAAAGCAUGCAGUAAGAGACAUUAAAUAAAUAAAUAAAUAAAACACAUUUAUUGUCAAGAUCACAACACGAGAUACAUUUAUAAACAAAGGAAAAACAAAAAGAAAUAAAAAGAAAAAUAAUUAAAUAAAAAUAAUCUUAUUCCUAAGAAGUGAGUGACCUGAUAAAUGGAGCCAACUAAGUAUAUGAUGGCAAUGUGAUUAAUACCUUACCACCACUGAUUUUCAGUGACCCCAAGUGACUAUUGGAGUUUCAGUCUAGAAUUGUAUAUAAUGAUAAUUUAACAUGAGUAUAUUAUGUGAAAGAUAUAUUUCUAUUAAUAUGAUAGAUACUAAUAAAUAAAUACAUCAGUUAAAACAUGUAAUAUAGGUAGCUGGUAGAUAUAAUAUCAGUAUGUAAUUAUGUA
Long non-coding RNA from Colias croceus (clouded yellow), 1458 nucleotides. RefSeq lists it as uncharacterized. The record is from RefSeq and is a predicted model, not a curated record. Lineage: Eukaryota; Metazoa; Arthropoda; Insecta; Lepidoptera; Pieridae. The transcript is spliced from 2 exons.